Molecule: ribosomal RNA, 250 nt
Filed under: uncultured prokaryote
Description: partial 16S rRNA
Rfam family: Bacterial small subunit ribosomal RNA
Source: RNAcentral
ACGGAGGAUGCGAGCGUUAUCCGGAUUUAUUGGUUUUAAAGGGUCCUUAGCGGGUAGGUUAGUCAGUGGGGAAAACCCGGCGGUUAAACGUAGACUUGCCGUUGAUACUGUCAGUCUUGAGUAUGGUCAAGGUAGGCGGAAUGUGUAAUGUAGCGGUGAAAUGCUUAGAUAUUACACAGAACACCGAUUGCGAAGGCAGCUUGCUGGGCCAUUACUGACGCUGAUGCACGAAAGCGUGGGGAUCGAACAG